UACAGAGGGUGCGAGCGUUGUCCGGAAUCACUGGGCGUAAAGGGCGCGUAGGUGGCUUGGUAAGCGUGUGGUGAAAGUCCGGGGCUCAACCCCGGAUCUGCCGUGCGAACUGCUGAGCUCGAGCAAUGUAGAGGCAGGUGGAACUUCGGGUGUAGCGGUGGAAUGCGUAGAUAUCCGAAAGAACACCAGUGGCGAAGGCGGCCUGCUGGGCAUUAGCUGACACUGAGGCGCGACAGCGUGGGGAGCAAACAGGAUUAGAACCGUACGGUC
This 270-nucleotide ribosomal RNA is filed under the name uncultured bacterium. RNAcentral's name for it is "partial 16S ribosomal RNA". It matches the Rfam family "Bacterial small subunit ribosomal RNA", at positions 524 to 795 of the family's 1533-position model. The record is from RNAcentral.